Molecule: long non-coding RNA, 1113 nt
Organism: Mauremys reevesii (Reeves's turtle)
Lineage: Eukaryota; Metazoa; Chordata; Testudines; Geoemydidae
Exons: 2
Source: RefSeq, a predicted model, not a curated record
AAUACUCCCGGCCCUCAGUGAGAGAUGGGAUCCCUCCGCAGCUUGAACAAGGCCGUCCAGAUACACAGAGCAGAAGGUUCCUGUGGGAGAGAAUUAGUGGAAGCAACAGCAGCAUUUGUUGCAACCAAGCAGCUGGAGAGGUGCCAGAUCCCCUCUCCCAGACAGCGAAUGAGAAGAUCCGUGGCACCCAGCCCCCGCCUCCACCCCCACCAAAGAAUUUCACUCACCUUGUAAACAUCAUAGGACUCGAUCCUGGUGUCGAAGCAGUUGUAGAGGUUGUUGAGCAUCUCGACAACUUGCAGGGGGGUGCAGGAGGCAGCGAUGCUAGUGAACCCCACGAUGUCAGAGAAAAAGAUAGUCACCUGGCAGAGGCAGAUGGGUGGCAUGAAGCUAAGGUUGCCAGGGAAGGUGGCAGAGCUUUUGAAGUCUUUGUGUGUCUUACAUUGAUUAAAAACUACAAACAAGGACCUGAUCCUGCAGUCCCCGCUCAGCGAGGUAGUCCCAUUGGAAGGCAUAAGGCUGAUUUACCAGAAUAAUGGUUCUGGGACCAGGACCCAAAUUUUCCCAAACCUAAUGCUGAGCAAAAGUGCUGAAACUCCCGUAUGCCGAGUGAAAUGCACCUCUGUGUGAAGGACCAGCACACGGUGGAUGCACUACUGAAGCUUUAUUUCAAGGACUUUAAUCGAACUGCCUGCCUGGAAAAGGGAUGCGGGAUUGGGCCAUUGAUUUCCAAGAUUCUUCAUUUGUAUCAACUUAAAUUACUUUUACUAGCAGGAAGUUUUAAAACAGGAUGUACUAAGGUUUCAGCUCAGUGAGCAGGCCCCUUCCACAGCUGGGGCCUAUUUUUGUUUCAUUAUUCAAAUAGUGGCGAUGACUGAAUUCAAGUAUCUGCACAGAUUCAGAAACAAAAUCUCAAGAUUGUGUUUUGUUCACAUUAGGAAAUAUUAAUAACUGGGCAUUUUUUCCCUUCACAUAAAGCCUGUUUUUCCCUAUUCUUGUUAAUCAAAGAACUUACUGAGAAGGGAAGAUACAUUUUAAAAACAACCCUGCACAACUGCCAUGAAAAAGAAAAUGUGUGUUAGUGGCCUUGACAAAUAAUUCACUAUCCUGUGC